CCUACGGGCGGCAGCAGUGGGGAAUUUUGCGCAAUGCUCGUAAGAGUGACGCAGCGACGCCGCGUGAAUGACGAAGGCCUUCGGGUCGUAAAGUUCUUUCGACAGGGAAGAAAAUGCCUAUAAGUAACUGUGUAUGUAUUGACGGUACCUGUAUAAGCAGCCCCGGCUAACUCCGUGCCAUCAGCCGCGGUAAUACGGAGGGGGCGAGCGUUGUUCGGAGGGACUGGGCGUAAAGAGCACGUAGGCGGUGUUGUAAGUCAUUAGUCAAAGACUAGAGCUCAACUUUAGUAAGGCUAGUGAUACUAUAAUACUAGAGUAUCAGAGAGGAUUGCAGAAUUCCUGGUGUAGCGGUGAAAUGCGUAGAUAUCAGGAGGAAUACCGUUAGCGAAGGCGGCAAUCUGGCUGGAAACUGACGCUGAGGUGCGAAAGCGUGGGUAGCAAACAGGAUUAGAUACCCCAGUAGUC
This 465-nucleotide ribosomal RNA is filed under the name uncultured bacterium. Its description in RNAcentral is "partial 16S ribosomal RNA". It matches the Rfam family "Bacterial small subunit ribosomal RNA", at positions 338 to 795 of the family's 1533-position model. The record is from RNAcentral.